This 491-nucleotide ribosomal RNA is filed under the name uncultured bacterium. Its description in RNAcentral is "partial 16S ribosomal RNA". It matches the Rfam family "Bacterial small subunit ribosomal RNA", at positions 30 to 506 of the family's 1533-position model. The record is from RNAcentral.
AUUGAACGCUGGCGGCAUGCUUUACACAUGCAAGUCGAACGGUAACAGGCCUUCGGGUGCUGACGAGUGGCGAACGGGUGAGUAAUGCAUCUGAACGUACCCAGAGGUGGGGGAUAACGCAGCGAAAGCUGUGCUAAUACCGCAUGUGAUCUGAGGAUGAAAGCGGGGGACCGAGCAGCAAUGUUUGGCCUCGCGCCUUUGGAGCGGCCGAUGUCGGAUUAGCUAGUUGGUGGGGUAAAGGCCUACCAAGGCGACGAUCCGUAGCUGGUCUGAGAGGACGACCAGCCACACUGGGACUGAGACACGGCCCAGACUCCUACGGGAGGCAGCAGUGGGGAAUUUUGGACAAUGGGCGCAAGCCUGAUCCAGCAAUGCCGCGUGCGGGAAGAAGGCCUUCGGGUUGUAAACCGCUUUUGGCAGGAACGAAACGGUGUCCGCUAAUACCGGGCGCUAAUGACGGUACCUGCAGAAUAAGCACCGGCUAACUACGU